UGUACAGCUACUUUGUGCUCAGAUAAUACUGUUAGAAAGUUGAAACAAUUUUCAAGUGAUCUGAAAUUUACAUCUUUCAUGGAAAAAAAGAAGAUGGGUUGUAACAUGAUUUGCUGCGAAGAAAAUAGUUGUGGUGAGGUUUAAGAAAAAUACCUCCAACUUCCUCUACUUGUGUCUUAGUUUAUUUUCCAGCAGAUGGACAGUUGUACAAAUCUGAAAAGGAAAAAGCCGCUGAAGAAUGAGCUGGACUGAAGUGAUAUUGCUGUCUGUCCGUCACCUAGCUGACCUCACCUGGAAUCAUGCAGGCAAACGACUACUGCAGGUGUAGGCAACUGCAUCUCAGAACGUUUUCGUGUUUAUGCUGUGCUCUCUCUGAGCUAACUGGUGCACGUGGUAUGGAGGGAGUUAAGUAAUUGCAAGUCAGUAGGUGAGGUUCCUGUCUUGCUUUCAGUGAAGUGAGCUCCUGCUGUGUCUAUUCAAUACUAUACCUUUGUUUGUUUGUUUUGCUUUGGUUUGUUUAUUACUGAUUGGAAAGAACAAUAAUGAAAUAUGAACUGCAGCAACAUCUGUC
RNAcentral lists this long non-coding RNA (571 nucleotides) under Anser brachyrhynchus (Pink-footed goose). RNAcentral's name for it is "lncRNA (ENSABRG00000018411.1)". The record is from RNAcentral. Lineage: Eukaryota; Metazoa; Chordata; Aves; Anseriformes; Anatidae.